CACAAACACACCACGCGCGUUUUUUUUUUUUUUAGGAAUAACAGAGGAGUCCGCCCCUCCCACUGCGGAAUUUAACUAACAAAUAAUCGCUAGUUUUAACU
Long non-coding RNA from Syngnathus acus (greater pipefish), 101 nucleotides. RefSeq lists it as uncharacterized. The record is from RefSeq and is a predicted model, not a curated record. The transcript is spliced from 4 exons. Lineage: Eukaryota; Metazoa; Chordata; Actinopteri; Syngnathiformes; Syngnathidae.